Paramisgurnus dabryanus is the source of this 516-nucleotide long non-coding RNA. RefSeq lists it as uncharacterized. NCBI's taxonomy places the organism in Eukaryota, Metazoa, Chordata, Actinopteri, Cypriniformes, Cobitidae. The record is from RefSeq and is a predicted model, not a curated record.
UACAUGAGUGUCCUUGCACUUUUCAGGAGUUAAGGCAGAUGUGGAGGCACACGGGUGACACCAGACACACACCAAGCACAUUGUUCGGACAUUCAAUCAUGACAUGAUCCAUGUGGAUGCUGUCCAUUGAGGAAAGAGUUUGUUCAGCGGUUUCUGGACAGAAUUAAUCCCAAAGAUGGGAAAAAGUGCACAUCCACACAAGGAGCAAGCAAAAAGACAAGGAACUUGGUGCAGAGAAAAGCUGUGGCCAUUAACCCCCAUGUGAACAGCUUCAUGCAGUCCCUGAUAGAGUUUGAAUGGGCGACUUCAAACUAAAGGCCAGUGUCAGUCUGCCAAAGUUUAAUGCAUUUAUUUUUAGUGUUCAAUAAAAUUCAAAUAGAAUAUUUAAAACUAUGGGCCAGUGUUCUUUUUACCACAGUGAAAUGUUACCUUUUAGUCGAUGAUGGACUUUAAACUGAAAACUUCAAACUAUGGACCAGUGUUCUAUUUGCCAGAGUUAAAUAUAUUACAGCAGGG